This 82-nucleotide ribosomal RNA is filed under the name Radopholus similis. Its description in RNAcentral is "partial 28S ribosomal RNA". It matches the Rfam family "Eukaryotic large subunit ribosomal RNA", at positions 20 to 101 of the family's 3401-position model. The record is from RNAcentral. Lineage: Eukaryota; Metazoa; Nematoda; Chromadorea; Rhabditida; Pratylenchidae.
AAUACCCGCUGAACUUAAGCAUACCAGUAAGCGGAGGAAAAGAAACUAACAAGGAUUCCCUUAGUAACGGCGAGUGAAAAAU